Molecule: unclassified non-coding RNA, 1219 nt
Filed under: Daphnia pulex (common water flea)
Lineage: Eukaryota; Metazoa; Arthropoda; Branchiopoda; Diplostraca; Daphniidae
Description: transmembrane protein 222-like, transcript variant X2
Source: RNAcentral
GCACGUCUGCACUCUGCAGUUUAAUAACAACACAGAAGUUUUGCAUUUCGAAUUUGAGAAUUCCCGAGUUUUUGUUGUUGAAGAAGUAUCAAGAAAAUUCUGUAAUGUGUUAGAUUCUUUCACUUUAAAGACGAAUUACUCGAUAUUACGAAACCUUUUGUUAUUAUAUUGGUAUUGUUGAUUCAAGAGCUUAAAAUAACUUGUGUCGUUAUGGCUGCAACAGAACCUAUUGACGUGAGGAAAAAUAGAUACCCUUUUUGCAUUGUUUGGACUCCUAUUCCGUUGAUAACGUGGAUAUUCCCGUUUAUUGGACACAUGGGGAUUUGCACAAGUUCAGGAAUUAUAAGGGACUUUGCUGGUUCCUACUUUGUUUCUGAAGAUCAAAUGGCAUUUGGAGAUCCUACAAAGUUCUUGCAGCUUGAAAUAUCAAAAGUUCCUGGUGGUGUUUCUGCUUGGGACCGAGCCAUCCAAGAUGCUUCUGAAGAAUACAAAAGUCAUAUGCAUAACUUGUGUUGUGAUAACUGCCACUCACAUGUUGCUCUGUCAUUGAAUAAUAUGGCAUACCCUGGAAAGAGAAAUUGGAACAUGGUUGCUGUAUGUUGGCAAAUGUUAUUUCAUGGCAAGCACAUUGGUUGUUCAGGAUUUUUGAGAACUUGGGCCCCGUCAAUCUUCCUUCUCGCAGUAAUUGCUGUGAUUGUGAUUUUUAUAGCUUGAUAAACCAGCCCUGAUAUUGAGGGAAAUCCAUAAUUAAAUGCUAAACUGCUUCAAUAAAGUUUUUCAUGUCACAUGCACACAGAUCCUUCUACUUGCACCGAAUUUGCUUUGAAAACGGCAUGGAAAUCUCAGCUACGAACUUUUGCAACCGGAUGCUAGCAGCCUCGAUACGUUAUUCGAGACAUCACACUCGCGGUGUGUGAUUCGGCUCUAUAUGCUGUUGACACCGAUAUCCUCUAGCAAAUAUUCAGCAGAAUAUGAUCAUUCUGACAACUAUUAAGGGUCACACUAUUCGUUUAUAACUAAAAGGCAGGAGCUGCUGUUCUCAGAGCUCAUUAAGCUUUUCGCUAUUAACGGCGAAAGUUGUCCUCUAUCUUGAAAAUUACAAUGAAAUUCUAUUUCAUUUUACUGCUCGUGUUUUCCUGCUGCAAUUUUUGUUACGGAGAAGAUUCUUCAAAAUUACGUGUGAUUUGCAUUGUCUCGGAUGAAAUUGCCCCAAUCACAG